UCCGGCUUAACGCCGGCAGUCUCGCUAGAGUCCCCGGCAUGACCCGCUGGCAACUAACGAUAAGGGUUUCGCUCGUUAAGGGACUUAACCCGACACUUCACAGCACGAGCUGACGACAGCCAUGCAACACCUGUGCUAGUUUCACCCUUGCGGGCAGCCAACCGAGUUAUCCCCGGAGGGCAUCCUAGCAUGUCAAACCUGGGUAAGGUUCUUCGCGUUGCUUCGAAUUAAGCCACAUGCUCCACCGCUUGUGUGAGCCCCCGUCAAUUCCUUUGAGUUUUAGCCUUGCGGCCGUACUCCCCAGGCGGCACACUUAUCGCUUUUGUUUCGGCUCGGAAACCGUCAGAGAUACCCGAACCUAGUGUGCAUCGUUUACGGCGUGGACUAC
This 388-nucleotide unclassified non-coding RNA is filed under the name uncultured Phycisphaerae bacterium. RNAcentral's name for it is "contains 16S-23S intergenic spacer region". Lineage: Bacteria; Pseudomonadati; Planctomycetota; Phycisphaerae. The record is from RNAcentral.